Molecule: RNA transcript, 1443 nt
Organism: Paramacrobiotus metropolitanus
Lineage: Eukaryota; Metazoa; Tardigrada; Eutardigrada; Parachela; Macrobiotidae
Exons: 2
Source: RefSeq, a predicted model, not a curated record
CACAUAAUCUAUGUACCGGUACUUGCCGUACACACCAUUAAAAACUUCGUUACCAUUGACAUGUACGUUCACCGGCGAAACGUGAUAUAUAAACUCGUAUCAUAAUCAGUCUUCGGAUCCUGAAUUUAUUAAUAUUUUCGAAAUGUUGGUAAUCGGAUUAUUGUCAGUAUUAGCCGUCGUAUCAGGUGUAACACGGUGACACCGUUACACAGGUUUCGGUACUGAUCUCGAAAAAGACUGCAAUAAUCCCACUCACGACUAUGAAAGCAUUAGCAAACUGCCAAGCACCGUGAUUUCCUUUCCUUUUCAAACUGAUUUGCUGACGAAAGAAGAAUGCAUUGCUUUUGCUACCAUCGGGGAAGAAGAUGCCUGCAGACUAGUGUUAAACAUCGAGAACUGCGAUAUUACCGUACAAGAUUAUUACUACAGAUAUCAUGCGGUGUCAAGAACAUACCUGAAAGUCGACUGUUAUCGGCAAAAACGUUCCGAUAUGCGGGAUUUAACGAGAAACAUUAGCAGAAUUAGCCCGAACCGAGCUGUCACCAUUCUCUUAGUCGAAAAAAGCAACACGGUACAUUCUGAAGUUGCUGAACCCAUUCGGCAACAAAUCAUUGAGCUGAGCGUUGAGUCUAAUACAUCUGUCACCACACGUAAGGUUUACGAAGCCGGUAUCUUGCCGAAAUUAUUGCGUUUUGAAGUGCAGUAUGGCUCCGAUCUGAGUGUUAACAAGCAGGAUUUUUCACGCAUGCCGGAAGUGCGGAUGAUCUGCUUUAUGUCGUCUAUCAUUGAUACACUGGAACGUUACACAUUUAUGGACUUGCCGCAUUUGAAGAGCCUGAUGCUGGAGAAGGAGAUUAGUUCUGAGUUGGCCCGAAAGGAAUGGCUUGCAGAGGUUUCCUCAAAUCGCACCUAUGAGUCAAAGCUCAUCAGCAUCAACGAUGUCCAGAAAGUGCGACGCUUGCAUUGUGACUGCUCGUUUGCCUGGUUCCGGAAUUUCUUGCAGCUGAAGCCACACCUCAUUGCCUACAGAGAAGCUGGGGAGGUGUUUAUUGUGGGCAAUUAUUUGUCGCCCUACGCACUCUCCCUAAGACGUGUGGACCCGCAAAUGAUGAGCGUGGAUUGUGCGCGGGAGCUGACGUACAACAAUACUCGCGUUGGCAAACAUUUUGCUUACAAUACAUACUGCAACAAUUUAAUUUGUAACCUUUAGACGCGCGGUUCGACAACUGGCAUCCCAUUACCCGGUUCUAAUACCGGAUCACCGUAGCGUAACGGUACUAAUGUAAGCAGUGGAAUGCAGUAAAUAUGUCAUAUGUUUAACAUACUAAUUCCGUUGUGAGCGUUGCAAAACGCUCAGAUCAUUUGCGUACAACAUCGAAGGAUGUGACAUUUCAAGUAAAAGAUACUUAAGAAAGGAUGUCCGUGAUAAACAGUCCGCUUACU